GCAGAGAAUUGAAUCAAUUAAGGUUGUUACCAGGGAGAGAGAAUGCUCAUGACAUAAAGGAGAGCCUGUUGGAAUGUAAACCAGGGCGUUUGUGCACUGCAGGUCUUAUUCUGUUCAUCUUUAGUGUUGUGUGUAGUAUGCCAGCAUUCCUUGAUGGCCUUGCUACAGUGGCCCUCCGACCACAGAGCUGAAGACAACAAUGUAUGUGGGACUCUAAUAGAAUUUCUGCCGCCGGGAGCAGGAUAGACUGAGGUUCCAUACUGAUGCUGGAUUUCCCUGACCUGGCAGACUGCUGUGCUCUUCCCUCUGAGUCUGAUGAACUGUAUCCCCCUUAGAUUAACCUCUACCCCCGACUCCAAAUCUCCAGGAUCCCCGGAUUUCAGACAGCUUUCUCCUCCACCAUCUGUCGAUUUAUCUCAGCCUCGCCGGCUUUGGCGAAAGGCUCUGGAGAGAUGGGAAAUCGCGGAGUGAAGACGUGCCAGCGAUCAAUCUUCUGCUGUGCUCCGUCACGAUGGGCCUGCAGCAUCAACACCCUUAUCCAGCCCUGAAAAGCCAUUUCACCCCUCCGUGCCCACCACAGCCCUGCUUCACACCUCUCAUAGAUGUCUAAUCCCAUUUACAGCCAUGGAUCAUAUGGGCCUCAUUUUAGCCCAUACCAUACUGCUGAGAUCCUAAGCCACCUCAUUCCCUAUAUACUAUCUCAAGAAUGUAUCUUCACUUUAUUCAUUGUUGGCCUUUAGUGCAGAUGUUAUCAUGAAGUUUGUCCAUACAUUGUGGCAAUGUGUUGGUGAAAACAAACAAAGAAAACCCCUGUUGUGUGUUCUACAUUCUUCCAUGUGGGCAAAAGAGGAAGUACCUGAAAACGGCUCUUGUAAAAGGUUUAGGUAUCUCUCUGAGGUGCUUGAUCAGUAGAAAGAGUUUAACCUAUCCUGUCAGACUAAAUUAAUUAGGUAAUUAAAAGCUCAGGUGGAAUUAGAACUACUGGAAGAUACCUUAGUAGGCUCCAGGCAAUAGUCCUUAAGUUCCUUUGGUAAAGGGGCAUAUUAGGGUUGAUGGGCUAUUAGAUAGCAUGACGGAACAAAUACAUUUAAAAGAUUGGAUGAAGUCAGCUAAAACCACCAAUGUCUGCUUUAGAAUAUAUACUCUACGACUUCAGUAUCAAAUAAAUGUACAUUUUCCAUUAAGGGUUCACUCUACAGGAUUGAGUUUACCUGUAGAUUUUCAAUUUGACACACAGCAGGAAGACAAAGUCAUUUCAGCAACAUAUUAAAGAUGUAUAACAUUUGGGAGAUCAAUUUCUAACCACAAAGAGAGACAUAAUUAAAUCCAG
This is a long non-coding RNA of Alosa alosa (allis shad), 1330 nucleotides long. RefSeq lists it as uncharacterized. NCBI's taxonomy places the organism in Eukaryota, Metazoa, Chordata, Actinopteri, Clupeiformes, Clupeidae. The transcript has 3 exons. The record is from RefSeq and is a predicted model, not a curated record.